CCUACGGGAGGCAGCAGUGGGGAAUUUUGGACAAUGGGCGCAAGCCUGAUCCAGCCAUGCCGCGUGCGGGAAGAAGGCCUUCGGGUUGUAAACCGCUUUUGUCAGGGAAGAAACGCUCUGGGCUAAUACCCUGGGGUAAUGACGGUACCUGAAGAAUAAGCACCGGCUAACUACGUGCCAGCAGCCGCGGUAAUACGUAGGGUGCAAGCGUUAAUCGGAAUUACUGGGCGUAAAGCGUGCGCAGGCGGUCUUGCAAGACAGAUGUGAAAUCCCCGGGCUCAACCUGGGAACUGCAUUUGUGACUGCAAGGCUAGAGUACGGUAGAGGGGGAUGGAAUUCCGCGUGUAGCAGUGAAAUGCGUAGAUAUGCGGAGGAACACCGAUGGCGAAGGCAAUCCCUUGGACCUGUACUGACGCUCAUGCACGAAAGCGUGGGGAGCAAACAGGAUUAGAUACCCUGGUAGUCCACGCCCUAAACGAUGUCAACUGGUUGUUGGGAAGGUUCCUUCUCAGUAACGUAGCUAACGCGUGAAGUUGACCGCCUGGGGAGUACGGCCGCAAGGUUGAAACUCAAAUGAAAUUGACCGGNUGAGAGNGCGACGACGACGACGAGGGAGGAGG
RNAcentral lists this ribosomal RNA (620 nucleotides) under uncultured bacterium. Its description in RNAcentral is "bacterial SSU rRNA". It matches the Rfam family "Bacterial small subunit ribosomal RNA", at positions 338 to 1363 of the family's 1533-position model. The record is from RNAcentral.